RNAcentral lists this ribosomal RNA (498 nucleotides) under uncultured bacterium. RNAcentral describes it as "bacterial SSU rRNA". It matches the Rfam family "Bacterial small subunit ribosomal RNA", at positions 28 to 480 of the family's 1533-position model. The record is from RNAcentral.
GACGAACGCUGGCGGCGUGCCUAAUACAUGCAAGUCGAACGCACUCUCGUUUAGAUUGAAGGAGCUUGCUCCUGAUUGAUAAACAUUUGAGUGAGUGGCGGACGGGUGAGUAACACGUGGGUAACCUGCCCUAAAGUGGGGGAUAACAUUUGGAAACAGAUGCUAAUACCGCAUAAAACCUAACACCGCAUGGUGUAGGGUUGAAAGAUGGUUUCGGCUAUCACUUUAGGAUGGACCCGCGGUGCAUUAGUUAGUUGGUGAGGUAAAGGCUCACCAAGACCGUGAUGCAUAGCCGACCUGAGAGGGUAAUCGGCCACACUGGGACUGAGACACGGCCCAGACUCCUACGGGAGGCAGCAGUAGGGAAUCUUCCACAAUGGACGAAAGUCUGAUGGAGCAACGCCGCGUGAGUGAAGAAGGUUUUCGGAUCGUAAAACUCUGUUGUUGGGAGAAGGUAAAUGUAUCUGAUAGUAACUGAAUCAGGUAGUGACGGUAUCC